CGUACGGGAAGACUGCCUAUGGGUUGUAAACCUCUUUUUUCAGGGAGGAAUCAAUGACGUGUACCUGAAGAAUAAGCAUCGGCUAACUCCGUGCCAGCAGMCGCGGUAAGACGGAGGAUGCAAGUGUUAKCCGGAAUCACUGGGCGUAAAGCGUCUGUAGGUGGUUUAAUAAGUCAACUGUUAAAUCUUGAGGCUCAACUUCAAAAUCGCAGUCGAAACUAUUAGACUAGAGUAUAGUAGAGGUAAAGGGAAUUKCCAGUGGAKCGGUGAAAUGMGUAGAUGAUUGGAAAGAACACCGAUGGCGAAAGCACUUUACUGGGCUAUUACUAACACUCAGAGACGAAAGCUAGGGUAGCAAAUGGGAUUAGAUACCCCAGUAGUCCUAGCCGUAAACAAUGGAUACUAGAUGUUGAACAGAUCGACCUGUGCAGUAUCWAAGCKAACGCUGUUAAGUAUCCCGYCUGGGAAGUAUG
Molecule: ribosomal RNA, 473 nt
Filed under: Skeletonema costatum
Lineage: Eukaryota; Bacillariophyta; Thalassiosirophyceae; Thalassiosirales; Thalassiosiraceae
Description: bacterial SSU rRNA
Rfam family: Bacterial small subunit ribosomal RNA
Source: RNAcentral